UACGAAGGGUGCAAGCGUUGUUCGGAAUCACUGGGCGUAAAGCGUGCGCAGGCGGACUGGAAAGUCAGGGGUGAAAUCCCAGAGCUCAACUCUGGAACUGCCUUUGAAACUGCUAGUCUGGAGGCCGGGAGAGGAUAGUGGAAUUCCUAGUGUAGAGGUGAAAUUCGUAGAUAUUAGGAGGAACACCAGUGGCGAAGGCGACUGUCUGGACCGGUUCUGACGCUCAAGCACGAAAGCGUGGGGAGCAAACAGG
Molecule: ribosomal RNA, 253 nt
Filed under: uncultured bacterium
Lineage: Bacteria
Description: partial 16S ribosomal RNA
Rfam family: Bacterial small subunit ribosomal RNA
Source: RNAcentral